GUUGUGGCCGGGUGGGGGUCGGCUCUGCUCGCACGUAACAGCGAUAGGACGAGAGGGAAUGGCCUUAAGUUGCGCUAGGGAGACUCGAGUCUCACAUGGAUAAAGAUGAGAGAGAGCACCUCUGUCCCAAGGGGGCAGUCACCAUCUCAGAUGACCGUACUGGAAAAUGUGUCUGUUCCCGUCACUCCAUGUCCAGCAUAUUGUGAGCAAACAUGGAGCCAGCAGAGAGAAGAGCUGAGUCUGCAGAAGACAUUGCAGCAGCAGCGAUGGCUCCCAAGCCAG
Molecule: non-coding RNA, 282 nt
Organism: Meleagris gallopavo (turkey)
Lineage: Eukaryota; Metazoa; Chordata; Aves; Galliformes; Phasianidae
Source: RefSeq, a predicted model, not a curated record